UACAGUGGGUGCAAGCGUUAAUCGGAAUUACUGGGCGUAAAGCGCGCGUAGGUGGUUCGUUAAGUUGGAUGUGAAAUCCCCGGGCUCAACCUGGGAACUGCAUCCAAAACUGGCGAGCUAGAGUAUGGUAGAGGGUGGUGGAAUUUCCCGGUGUAGCGGUGAAAUGCGCAGAUAUCGGGAGGAACACCAGUGGCGAAGGCGGCGAUCUGGGAAGAUACUGACGCUGAGGUGCGAAAGCGUGGGGAGCAAACAGG
Molecule: ribosomal RNA, 254 nt
Filed under: uncultured bacterium
Lineage: Bacteria
Description: partial 16S ribosomal RNA
Rfam family: Bacterial small subunit ribosomal RNA
Source: RNAcentral